Non-coding RNA from Arabis alpina (gray rockcress), 93 nucleotides. Lineage: Eukaryota; Viridiplantae; Streptophyta; Magnoliopsida; Brassicales; Brassicaceae. The record is from Rfam.
UAUGGUGAUGAUGAUAAAACAUAAUCCCAGCUCUAUGAGGCCUUUUGUGGUCUAGGAGUAUAACUAUGUUCGUACAUUUAUCUGAGCCUUUUU